AUUGAACGCUGGCGGCAUGCCUUACACAUGCAAGUCGAACGGUAACAGGUCUUCGGCUGCUGACGAGUGGCGAACGGGUGAGUAAUACAUCGGAACGUGCCUAGUAGUGGGGGAUAACUACUCGAAAGAGUGGCUAAUACCGCAUGAGAUCUACGGAUGAAAGCAGGGGAUCGCAAGACCUUGUGCUACUAGAGCGGCCGAUGGCAGAUUAGGUAGUUGGCGGGAUAAAAGCUUACCAAGCCGACGAUCUGUAGCUGGUCUGAGAGGACGAUCAGCCACACUAGGACUGAGACACGGCGCAGACUCCGACGGGAGGCAGCAGUGGGUACACGUGGACACGGGGCGCAAGCCUGGCGCAGCCCUGCCGCGUGCAGACUGAUGGUCUUCGGGUUGUCAACGGCUUAUGUACGGAACGAAAAGCCCCGGGUUCAUACCCUGGGGUCAUGACGGGACCGUAAGAAGAAGCACCGGCUAACUACGUGCCAGCCGCCGCCGUAA
Molecule: ribosomal RNA, 498 nt
Filed under: uncultured bacterium
Lineage: Bacteria
Description: partial 16S ribosomal RNA
Rfam family: Bacterial small subunit ribosomal RNA
Source: RNAcentral